This is a small nuclear RNA of Monodelphis domestica (gray short-tailed opossum), 101 nucleotides long. Lineage: Eukaryota; Metazoa; Chordata; Mammalia; Didelphimorphia; Didelphidae. The record is from Ensembl.
GCUCAUGCUGGGAGGACAUAUAUUAAAACUGGAAGGACACAGAGAUUAGCAUGGCCCCUGUACAAGGUGACACACAAAUUCAUGGAACAUUCCAUAUUUCU